GAUGAACGCUGACAGAAUGCUUAACACAUGCAAGUCUAAUUGAUUCUACUUCGGUAGUUGAUGGUGGCGGACGGGUGAGUAACGCGUAAAGAAUCUGCCCUUUAGUUUGGGAUAACCAUUGGAAACGAAGGCUAAUACCGAAUAUUAUGGAGAUGUCGCCUGACAACUUCAUGAAAGCAAUAUGCGCUAGAGGAGGACUUUGCGUCCCAUCAGUUAGUUGGUGAGGUAAUGGCUAACCAAGACCGCGAUGGGUAGCAGGCCUGAGAGGGUGGUCGGACACAAGGGAAGUGGGACACGGUCCUUACUCCUACGGGAGGCAGCAGUGGGGAAUAUUGGACAAUGGACCACAAGUCUGAUCCAGCAAUUCUGUGUGCACGAUGAAGGUCUUCGGAUUGUAAAGUGCUUUCAGUAGGGAAGAAAAAAAUGACGGUACCUACAGAAGAAGCGACGGCUAAAUAUGUGCCAGCAGCCGCCGUAA
RNAcentral lists this ribosomal RNA (478 nucleotides) under uncultured bacterium. Its description in RNAcentral is "partial 16S ribosomal RNA". It matches the Rfam family "Bacterial small subunit ribosomal RNA", at positions 28 to 523 of the family's 1533-position model. The record is from RNAcentral.